This 497-nucleotide ribosomal RNA is filed under the name uncultured bacterium. RNAcentral describes it as "partial 16S ribosomal RNA". It matches the Rfam family "Bacterial small subunit ribosomal RNA", at positions 28 to 507 of the family's 1533-position model. The record is from RNAcentral.
GAUGAACGCUGGCGGCGUGCCUAAUACAUGCAAGUCGAGCGAACGGACGAGAAGCUUGCUUUUCUGAUGUUAGCGGCGGACGGGGGAGUAACACGUGGAUAACCUACCUAUAAGACUGGGAUAACUUCGGGAAACCGGAGCUAAUACCGGAUAAUAUUUUGAACCGCAUGGUUCAAAAGUGAAAGACGGUCUUGCUGUCACGUAUAGAUGGAUCCGCGCUGCAUUAGCUAGUUGGUAAGGUAACGGCUUACCAAGGCAACGAUGCAUAGCCGACCUGAGAGGGUGGUCGGCCACACUAGAACUGAGCCGCGGUCCAGACUCCUACGGGACGCAGCAGUAGGGUAUCUUCCGCAGAGGGCGAAACCCUGACGGAGCAACGCCGCGUCAGUUAUGAAGAUCUUCGGAUCGUAAAACUCUGUUAUUAGGGAAGAACAUAUGUGUAAGUAACUGUGCACAUCUUGACGGUACCUUAUCAGAAAGCCACGGCUAACUACGUG